RNAcentral lists this ribosomal RNA (467 nucleotides) under uncultured Zoogloea sp. RNAcentral describes it as "bacterial SSU rRNA". It matches the Rfam family "Bacterial small subunit ribosomal RNA", at positions 337 to 796 of the family's 1533-position model. Lineage: Bacteria; Pseudomonadati; Pseudomonadota; Betaproteobacteria; Rhodocyclales; Zoogloeaceae. The record is from RNAcentral.
UCCUACGGGGGGCUGCAGUGGGGAAUUUUGGACAAUGGGGGCAACCCUGAUCCAGCCAUGCCGCGUGAGUGAAGAAGGCCUUCGGGUUGUAAAGCUCUUUCGGCCGGGAAGAAAUCGCAUGGGCUAAUACCCUGUGUGGAUGACGGUACCGGAAUAAGAAGCACCGGCUAACUACGUGCCAGCAGCCGCGGUAAUACGUAGGGUGCGAGCGUUAAUCGGAAUUACUGGGCGUAAAGCGUGCGCAGGCGGUGAUGUAAGACAGAUGUGAAAUCCCCGGGCUCAACCUGGGAACUGCGUUUGUGACUGCAUCACUCGAGUACGGCAGAGGGAGGUGGAAUUCCGCGUGUAGCAGUGAAAUGCGUAGAGAUGCGGAGGAACACCGAUGGCGAAGGCAGCCUCCUGGGCCAGUACUGACGCUCAUGCACGAAAGCGUGGGGAGCAAACAGGAUUAGAUACCCCAGUAGUCG